GAGUGAACAGGAAAGAGCUCAAAGUUGGAACCCGUUUGGUUUAGCCAAACCGGAUUGUAAACUGUAGAAGUGUUUUCCUGACACGCCUGAUGAAAAAGUCCAUUGGAACAUGGUGACAUAGAGGGUGAGAGCCCCGUAUUUCGUCAGAGCUGUUGUCUUUUGUGAUACACUUUCAAAGAGUCAGGUUGUUUGGGAAUGCAGCCUAAAUUGGGUGGUAAAUCUCACCUAAAGCUAAAUAUUGGCAAAAGACCGAUAGCGAACAAGUACCGUGAGGGAAAGAUGAAAAGAACUUUGAAAAGAGAGUUAAACAGUAUGUGAAAUUGUUAAAAGGGAACCGUUUGGAGCCAGACUGGCUUGAUUGUAAUCAAUCUAGAUUUCGAUCUGGAUGCACUUGCAGUCUAUGCCUGCCAACGACAAUUCAUUCUGGAGGAAAAAACUAGGAGGAAUGUGGCCCCUCGGGGUGUUAUAGCUUCUUAGAAAAUACUCUGGGUUGGAUUGAGGAACGCAGUGGAUGCUAUUUGGCGAAGUUGCUGAGUGCUUUUAUUGGUACGUGUUAGAAUUUCUGCUUCGGGUGGUGCUAGCAUUUACUGGUAAAACUCGCUUGGUAAUCUUUUUAUCCGCUUAGGUUGUUGGCUUAAUGACUCUAAAUGACCCGUCU
This 658-nucleotide ribosomal RNA is filed under the name Gilbertella persicaria. RNAcentral describes it as "eukaryotic LSU rRNA". It matches the Rfam family "Eukaryotic large subunit ribosomal RNA", at positions 91 to 654 of the family's 3401-position model. The record is from RNAcentral. Lineage: Eukaryota; Fungi; Mucoromycota; Mucoromycetes; Mucorales; Choanephoraceae.